This 209-nucleotide unclassified non-coding RNA is filed under the name uncultured fungus. RNAcentral's name for it is "sequence contains ITS1". Lineage: Eukaryota; Fungi. The record is from RNAcentral.
UGGUGAUAUACGAUUCGCUGCCCGUGUUUGACGACGGGCCUGUGGCGCAUGCACCCAUAAAGCGUGCACGCACCCAACAACAUGUGGUCUGCAGCGUGCUGCGCCGGGCGAUGCAUGCACGCGUCACGCGUCACACGCCCGGAGCACCGGGGUGCAUUCACGAAGUGUAUUCUGCUGUAAUGAUCCUUCCGCAGGUUCACCUACGGAAA